RNAcentral lists this ribosomal RNA (488 nucleotides) under uncultured bacterium. Its description in RNAcentral is "bacterial SSU rRNA". It matches the Rfam family "Bacterial small subunit ribosomal RNA", at positions 368 to 868 of the family's 1533-position model. The record is from RNAcentral.
GAACUGGGCGCAGCCUGAUGCAGCACGCCGCGUGAGGGACGACGGCCUUCGGGUUGUAAACCUCUUUUAGCAGGGAAGAAGCGAAAGUGACGGUACCUGCAGAAAAAGCACCGGCUAACUACGUGCCAGCAGCCGCGGUAAUACGUAGGGUGCAAGCGUUGUCCGGAAUUAUUGGGCGUAAAGAGCUCGUAGGCGGUUUGUCGCGUCUGCUGUGAAAAUCCGAGGCUCAACCUCGGACCUGCAGUGGGUACGGGCAAACUAGAGUGCGGUAGGGGAGAUUGGAAUUCCUGGUGUAGCGGUGGAAUGCGCAGAUAUCAGGAGGAACACCAAUGGCGAAGGCAGAUCUCUGGGCCGUAACUGACGCUGAGGAGCGAAAGCGUGGGGAGCGAACAGGAUUAGAUACCCUGGUAGUCCACGCCGUAAACGGUGGGAACUAGAUGUGGGGUCCGUUCCACGGAUUCCGUGUCGCAGCUAACGCAUUAAGUUCC